UACGUAGGGUGCAAGCGUUGUCCGGAAUUAUUGGGCGUAAAGAGCUUGUAGGCGGUUUGUCGCGUCUGCUGUGAAAUUUCGGGGCUCAACCCCGAACUUGCAGUGGGUACGGGCAGACUAGAGUGUGGUAGGGGAGACUGGAAUUCCUGGUGUAGCGGUGAAAUGCGCAGAUAUCAGGAGGAACACCGGUGGCGAAGGCGGGUCUCUGGGCAGUAACUGACACUGAGGAGCGAAAGCGUGGGGAGCGAACAGG
RNAcentral lists this ribosomal RNA (253 nucleotides) under uncultured bacterium. RNAcentral's name for it is "partial 16S ribosomal RNA". It matches the Rfam family "Bacterial small subunit ribosomal RNA", at positions 524 to 776 of the family's 1533-position model. The record is from RNAcentral.